Molecule: ribosomal RNA, 452 nt
Filed under: uncultured organism
Description: partial 16S ribosomal RNA
Rfam family: Bacterial small subunit ribosomal RNA
Source: RNAcentral
GUACACUCCUGCGGGAGGCAGCAGUGGGGAACAUUGGACAAUGGGCGCAAGCCUGAUCCAGCCAUGCCGCGUGAGUGAUGAAGGCCCUAGGGUUGUAAAGCUCUUUCACCGGUGAAGAUAAUGACGGUAACCGGAGAAGAAGCCCCGGCUAACUUCGUGCCAGCAGCCGCGGUAAUACGAAGGGGGCUAGCGUUGUUCGGAUUUACUGGGCGUAAAGCGCACGUAGGCGGACUAUUAAGUCAGGGGUGAAAUCCCGGGGCUCAACCCCGGAACUGCCUUUGAUACUGGUAGUCUUGAGUUCGAGAGAGGUGAGUGGAAUUCCGAGUGUAGAGGUGAAAUUCGUAGAUAUUCGGAGGAACACCAGUGGCGAAGGCGGCUCACUGGCUCGAUACUGACGCUGAGGUGCGAAAGCGUGGGGAGCAAACAGGAUUAGAUACCCCAGUAGUCCCAUG